RNAcentral lists this ribosomal RNA (383 nucleotides) under uncultured bacterium. Its description in RNAcentral is "bacterial SSU rRNA". It matches the Rfam family "Bacterial small subunit ribosomal RNA", at positions 28 to 412 of the family's 1533-position model. The record is from RNAcentral.
GACGAACGCUGGCGGCGUGCUUAACACAUGCAAGUCGAACGGUGAACCGGGCUUCGGCGCGGGGAUCAGUGGCGAACGGGUGCGUAACACGUGGGCAACCUGCCCCAGACACUGGGAUAACUCCGGGAAACCGGGGCUAAUACCGGAUACUCUCAACCGGCCGCAUGACCGGUUGAGGAAAGCUCCGGCGGUCUGGGAUGGGCCCGCGGCCUAUCAGCUUGUUGGUGGGGUAACGGCCUACCAAGGCGACGACGGGAGCUGGUCUGAGAGGACGGCCAGCCACACUGGGACUGAGACACGGCCCAGACUCCUACGGGAGGCAGCAGUGGGGAAUCUUGCACAAUGGGCGCAAGCCUGAUGCAGCGACGCCGCGUGGGGAUGAA